GUUUGAAGCAAAGCACGAGUAACGUCCUGUAUCCUCCUCAAAAGCUUCAACAAUAACCAAUGAGUGUUGAUCACCUGUCUGGGUAAUUUGAAUGUCUGGUCUCCAACUAAGAGAGCACCGGUUGGCACUGACUCAGUCCGAUGCUGGUAGAGGUUUGCCAGAUCUUGCUGUAGCUGAUAACAAUGAUGGACUUGUUUUCCUCAGAUUAUAUAAAAGGAAGGAUAUUGGAAGACUCCAAACUGUGACACUUAGAAAGAAAAUGCAAAUAUUAUGGUAAGUAUUUUUUAUUUAAUCUGAUUAGUAAAGGCCUUUUAAAGCACAACAAAACCUUUCUGACAU
Long non-coding RNA from Harpia harpyja (harpy eagle), 339 nucleotides. RefSeq lists it as uncharacterized. The transcript is spliced from 3 exons. The record is from RefSeq and is a predicted model, not a curated record. NCBI's taxonomy places the organism in Eukaryota, Metazoa, Chordata, Aves, Accipitriformes, Accipitridae.